GAUGAACGCUGGCGGCGUGCCUAAUACAUGCAAGUCGAGCGAACAGACGAGGAGCUUGCUCCUCUGACGUUAGCGGCGGACGGGUGAGUAACACGUGGAUAACCUACCUAUAAGACUGGGAUAACUUCGGGAAACCGGAGCUAAUACCGGAUAAUAUAUUGAACCGCAUGGUUCAAUAGUGAAAGACGGUUUUGCUGUCACUUAUAGAUGGAUCCGCGCCGCAUUAGCUAGUUGGUAAGGUAACGGCUUACCGAGGCGACGAUGCGUAGCCGACCUGAGAGGGUGAUCGGCACCACUAGAACUGAGACACGGUCCAGACUCCUACGGGAGGCAGCAGUAGGGAAUCUUCCGCAAUGGGCGAAAGCCUGACGGAGCAACGCCGCGUGAGUGAUGAAGGUCUUCGGAUCGUAAAACUCUGUUAUUAGGGAAGAACAAAUGUGUAAGUAACUAUGCACGUCUUGACGGUACCUAAUCAGAAAGCCACGGCUAACUACGUG
This 497-nucleotide ribosomal RNA is filed under the name uncultured bacterium. Its description in RNAcentral is "partial 16S ribosomal RNA". It matches the Rfam family "Bacterial small subunit ribosomal RNA", at positions 28 to 507 of the family's 1533-position model. The record is from RNAcentral.